Molecule: small nuclear RNA, 107 nt
Organism: Mesocricetus auratus (golden hamster)
Lineage: Eukaryota; Metazoa; Chordata; Mammalia; Rodentia; Cricetidae
Source: Ensembl
GUACUCACUUCGGCAGCACAUAUAAUAAAAUUGGAACGAUACAGGGAAGAAUAGCAUGGCCCCUGUGCAAGGAUGACACACAAAUUCAUGAAGCAAACUCAUGGGCU